GACUCAAACCCAAACAUUAAACAUGGUCCUUUUGAGGCCUUUAGAAACGAAGUGGCACCUCAAAAAUCUCCAAAAAUAAAGAAACACAGCUCUGGGCGGCCUCUUGGGCAUAUUAUAAAAUUGACUCAAGUCAGUAGCGAGCGAGAAAUCAUAAAGCGCGGACAUUUAAAUACGAGCAGUGAGCGACAAAUAGUCAGUCGGGAAAUAGUAAAACGAAAAGACAAUUUAAUUUGCAAAAAAAAACCAUUAAACGUGGGUGAAAAUUAUAAAUUAAACAAACAAACAAGACAAAUUACAAAAUUAAACACGAGUAAAAAGUUUGUGAAAAACCAAAAAAAAAUUUAAACGUUGCGAGCAACAACAUAUUUGCUUUGCGAUACCAAGGCAAAUCGAACAGUGUGGUGGAAUUACAAAAUUUUUAA
Molecule: long non-coding RNA, 422 nt
Organism: Rhagoletis zephyria (snowberry fruit fly)
Lineage: Eukaryota; Metazoa; Arthropoda; Insecta; Diptera; Tephritidae
Source: RefSeq, a predicted model, not a curated record